GACGAACCGUCCUAACGUUGUUCGGAAUCACUGGGCUUAAAGGGCGCGUAGGCGGCUUGCCAAGUCAGGGGUGAAAUCCUGCAGCUUAACUGUAGAAGGGCCUUUGAUACUGGCGAGCUCGAGGGAGGUAGGGGUAUGUGGAACUUCCGGUGGAGCGGUGAAAUGCGUUGAUAUCGGAAGGAACGCCGGUGGCGAAAGCGACGUACUGGACCUCUUCUGACGCUGAGGCGCGAAAGCCAGGGGAGCGAACGGG
This 253-nucleotide ribosomal RNA is filed under the name uncultured bacterium. RNAcentral describes it as "partial 16S ribosomal RNA". It matches the Rfam family "Bacterial small subunit ribosomal RNA", at positions 524 to 776 of the family's 1533-position model. The record is from RNAcentral.